This 497-nucleotide ribosomal RNA is filed under the name uncultured bacterium. RNAcentral's name for it is "partial 16S ribosomal RNA". It matches the Rfam family "Bacterial small subunit ribosomal RNA", at positions 28 to 507 of the family's 1533-position model. The record is from RNAcentral.
GAUGAACGCUGGCGGCGUGCCUAAUACAUGCAAGUCGAGCGAACAGACGCGGAUCUUGUUCCUCUCACGUUUGCGGCGGACGUGUGAGUAACACGAGGAUACUCUACCUAUAAGACUGAGAUAACUUCGGGAAACCGGAGCUAAUACCGGAUAAUCUAUUGCACCGUAUGGUUCAAUAGUGAAAUACGGUUUUGCUGUCACUUAUAGAUGCAUCUGCGCCGCAUUAGCUAGUUGGUAAGGUAACGGCUUACCAAGGCGACGAGGCGUAGCCGACCUGAUAGAGUGAUAGGCCACACUGGAAGGGAGACACGGUCCAGACUCCUGAGAGAGGCAGCAGUAGGGAAUGUGACGCAGUGGGCGAAAGCAUGACGGAGCGACGCCGAGUGAGUGAUAAAGGUCUUGGGAUCGUAAAACUCUGUUAUUAGGGGAGAACAAAUGUGUAAGUAAAUGUGCACGGCUUGACGGUACCUAGUCAGAAAGCCACGGCUAACUACGUG